UUCCAGACUCCUACGGGAGGCAGCAGUGGGGAAUAUUGCACAAUGGGGGAAACCCUGAUGCAGCGACGCCGCGUGAGCGAUGAAGUAUUUCGGUAUGUAAAGCUCUAUCAGCAGGGAAGAAAAUGACGGUACCUGACUAAGAAGCCCCGGCUAACUACGUGCCAGCAGCCGCGGUAAUACGUAGGGGGCAAGCGUUAUCCGGAUUUACUGGGUGUAAAGGGAGCGUAGACGGUCCUGCAAGCCAGAUGUGAAAGCCCGGGGCUCAACCCCGGGACUGCAUUUGGAACUGUAAGGCUAGAGUGCAGGAGAGGUAAGUGGAAUUCCUAGUGUAGCGGUGAAAUGCGUAGAUAUUAGGAGGAACACCAGUGGCGAAGGCGGCUUACUGGACUGUAACUGACGUUGAGGCUCGAAAGCGUGGGGAGCAAACAGGAUUAGAUACCCCAGUA
Molecule: ribosomal RNA, 446 nt
Filed under: uncultured bacterium
Lineage: Bacteria
Description: bacterial SSU rRNA
Rfam family: Bacterial small subunit ribosomal RNA
Source: RNAcentral